Molecule: unclassified non-coding RNA, 300 nt
Filed under: uncultured fungus
Lineage: Eukaryota; Fungi
Description: sequence contains 5.8S rRNA gene, ITS2
Rfam family: 5.8S ribosomal RNA (bases 1-73)
Source: RNAcentral
GUGAAUCAUCGAAUCUUUGAACGCAUAUGGCACCUGCUAAUUAUUAUUAGAAGGUAUGCCUGUUUGAGAAUCAUAUUUAUUUAUAUUCCUUGUUGAUCAGAUUCGAUUUGAUGAUCCAUGUUUGUGGAUUGUCAUUGAUGAUUUGAACAAGUGGGAAUGAAUUGGACUUUUAUCAUUAAUUGUCUUGAAUAAUGAAAUGUGACUAUUGAAUGAUAGAUGGAAUGUAAUGCUCAAUUAGAUUCAAUAAAUGUUUGAUAGUCAACUGAUAACAACAACAACAAUGAUCUCAAAUCAGGCAAG